UACGUAGGUGACAAGCGUUGUCCGGAUUUACUGGGCGUAAAGAGCGCGCAGGCGGUCGUAUAAGUCGCGUGUGAAAGCCCCCGGCUCAACUGGGGAGGGUCACGCGAUACUGUUCGACUCGAAGGCAGGAGAGGGAAGUGGAAUUCCCGGUGUAGUGGUGAAAUGCGUAGAUAUCGGGAGGAACACCAGUGGCGAAGGCGACUUCCUGGCCUGUUCUUGACGCUGAGGCGCGAAAGCUAGGGUAGCAAACGGG
This 253-nucleotide ribosomal RNA is filed under the name uncultured bacterium. RNAcentral describes it as "partial 16S ribosomal RNA". It matches the Rfam family "Bacterial small subunit ribosomal RNA", at positions 524 to 776 of the family's 1533-position model. The record is from RNAcentral.